This 1102-nucleotide long non-coding RNA is filed under the name Calidris pugnax (ruff). Its description in RNAcentral is "lncRNA (ENSCPUG00000019427.1)". The record is from RNAcentral. Lineage: Eukaryota; Metazoa; Chordata; Aves; Charadriiformes; Scolopacidae.
UCAAAUUCUUGGUGUAAUAAAACAGUUUUUUCACUAAUCUUCAGACAGCUAAUUGAACAAAGUGAAAAAGAGGAAUUAAAAAAAAAAAAAAAAAAAAAGAAACCAACCCAAAUUUGCUUAAAUGUCCUUCACAUGUUGAGUAACAAAGGCUGGUGAAGGCCUCUGUCACCUGUAGGUAGAGUCCACAAGGGCAGCCAGUGGCCCAGAGGCCUUGAUGUUGAAGGCCAUGCUCCCAUCUUGAGGGAAACAUAAGCUCUUAAGCAGCUUGCUGUAGGCUCCCUGAUCAGAGGAACUAAAAUUAUCCAUUUUCUUUUACAAGAGUGCAAGGCAAAAGGCUUCUUUAUGCUUUCCGUCUGCCAUGCAUGCUCAUUUGUGGGACUGGCAGUUUUUAAAUAGAGAGAGCAGCAUUUGACUAGUUAUUUUUAUCUGGACUGUGCCCUUUUAAUUCGUCUCCCACUUCCCUCCCUCAGCUCCACACACCUGAUCCUAAAUAAAGACUCUGGACUCUGGGAGUUAAUUCCAGUCCGAUUCGGGUAAUCGAGUCUUGUAAAGCAAGCUGCCACUUCCCCAUGACAAAUGAAGAGCUCCCACUCCCAUACACUACUCCAGACAAGGGCCUUCUGUAAUUUUUAUCCACUGCACAAUUCUGGGUCAUAUAAAUAAAGAAAAAAUAAUAAUAAUUUGUAUAAUUCUCUAGCCAGAGUCUGAUUAUGAUUUGGAUGAAACACUAAGAAAUAUUGGGCUGUUCAGAGGCUAUAUUUGGCUGAAUGGAAUCAAAUCAAAGCAGAGAAUUUGAAAAGGAGCAAAAAGCUCCAGGGAUUCAGUUCAUUACCAAUCACUGGACUCCAGUCCCAAACACAGCAUGUCCAUAUUUAAAUGGCUAAUAUCACAGACUGCUAAUUGUUUGGCAACACCUAUUUUCUUUAGGGGGUUGACACAGCCUGAUGAGUCUGCCAAACUGUUUGAAAAUCGCUCAUGCAGGGAAUGAAAGCCAUACUCCAGUGCACAGGAUCCCAGGAGGGUUAUGCUAAAGCUGAUAAAAGCAAAACGAGAAAAAAGAAAAGGUCAAACUGGGAGGAGAAGCCCCAAACUCCAGUGUAAU